This 430-nucleotide ribosomal RNA is filed under the name bacterium B12(2008). RNAcentral describes it as "bacterial SSU rRNA". It matches the Rfam family "Bacterial small subunit ribosomal RNA", at positions 958 to 1392 of the family's 1533-position model. The record is from RNAcentral. RNAcentral also lists the same sequence under 2 other names.
AACGCGAAGAACCUUACCUACCCUUGACAUGUCAAGAAUUCUGCAGAGAUGUGGAAGUGCUCGAAAGAGAACUUGAACACAGGUGCUGCAUGGCCGUCGUCAGCUCGUGUCGUGAGAUGUUGGGUUAAGUCCCGCAACGAGCGCAACCCUUGUCAUUAGUUGCUACGAAAGGGCACUCUAAUGAGACUGCCGGUGACAAACCGGAGGAAGGUGGGGAUGACGUCAGGUCCUCAUGGCCCUUAUGGGUAGGGCUACACACGUCAUACAAUGGCCGGUACAGAGGGCUGCCAACCCGCGAGGGGGAGCCAAUCCCAGAAAACCGGUCGUAGUCCGGAUCGCAGUCUGCAACUCGACUGCGUGAAGUCGGAAUCGCUAGUAAUCGCGGAUCAGCUUGCCGCGGUGAAUACGUUCCCGGGUCUUGUACACACCG